GGCACUUUGGCCGAGUGGUCUAAGGCGCCGUGUUCAGGCUAAGAUUUGCUCUCGCAGCAGAUCUUCCUCUUCGCGGUCUAGUAAUAGGCGAGGGUUCGAAUCCCUCAGGUGUCA
RNAcentral lists this transfer RNA (114 nucleotides) under Claviceps arundinis. Its description in RNAcentral is "tRNA-Leu". It matches the Rfam family "tRNA". From Rfam's summary of the family: Transfer RNA (tRNA) molecules are approximately 80 nucleotides in length. Their secondary structure includes four short double-helical elements and three loops (D, anti-codon, and T loops). Further hydrogen bonds mediate the characteristic L-shaped molecular structure. tRNAs have two regions of fundamental functional importance: the anti-codon, which is responsible for specific mRNA codon recognition, and the 3' end, to which the tRNAs corresponding amino acid is attached (by aminoacyl-tRNA synthetases). tRNAs cope with the degeneracy of the genetic code in two manners: having more than one tRNA (with a specific anti-codon) for a particular amino acid; and 'wobble' base-pairing, i.e. permitting non-standard base-pairing at the 3rd anti-codon position. The record is from RNAcentral. Lineage: Eukaryota; Fungi; Ascomycota; Sordariomycetes; Hypocreales; Clavicipitaceae.